AGGAUGCGAGCGUUAUCCGGAUUUAUUGGGUUUAAAGGGUGCGUAGGCGGCCUGCCAAGUCAGCGGUAAAAUUGCGGGGCUCAACCCCGUACAGCCGUUGAAACUGCCGGGCUCGAGUGGGCGAGAAGUAUGCGGAAUGCGUGGUGUAGCGGUGAAAUGCAUAGAUAUCACGCAGAACCCCGAUUGCGAAGGCAGCAUACCGGCGCCCUACUGACGCUGAGGCACGAAAGUGCGGGGAUCAAACAGGAUUAGAUACCCUGGUAGUCCGCACAGUAAACGAUGAAUGCUAGCUGUCCGGGGGGAUUGACCCCUGGGUGGCACAGCGAAAGCGUUAAGCAUUCCACCUGGGGAGUACGCCGGCAACGGUG
Molecule: ribosomal RNA, 368 nt
Filed under: uncultured Bacteroidales bacterium
Lineage: Bacteria; Pseudomonadati; Bacteroidota; Bacteroidia; Bacteroidales
Description: bacterial SSU rRNA
Rfam family: Bacterial small subunit ribosomal RNA
Source: RNAcentral